RNAcentral lists this ribosomal RNA (489 nucleotides) under uncultured marine eukaryote. Its description in RNAcentral is "SSU rRNA". It matches the Rfam family "Eukaryotic small subunit ribosomal RNA", at positions 624 to 1110 of the family's 1831-position model. The record is from RNAcentral.
AAGCUCGUAGUUGGAUUUCUGGCGGGAGUGACCGGUCCGUCCUUUUUGGAUGUGUACUAGCUGUCGUCUCUUGCCAUCCUUGGGGAGAGCUGGCCUGGCAUUAGGUUGUCGGGUUAGGGAUCCCCAUCCUUUACUGUGAAAAAAUUAGAGUGUUUAAAGCAGGCUUAUGCCGUUGAAUACAUUAGCAUGGAAUAAUAAGAUAGGACCUUGGUGGUUUAUUUUGUUGGUUUGCACGCCAAGGUAAUGAUUAAUAGGGAUGGUUGGGGGUAUCCGUAUUUCGUAGUCAGAGGUGAAAUUCUUGGAUUUACGAAAGACGAACUACUGCGAAAGCAUUUACCAAGGAUGUUUUCAUUAAUCAAGAACGAAGGUUAGGGGAUCGAAGAUGAUUAGAUACCAUCGUAGUCUUAACCAUAAACUAUGCCGACUAGGGAUUGGCGGUCGUUACUGUUAUGACUCCGUCAGCACCUUAUGAGAAAUCAAAGUCUUUGG